RNAcentral lists this ribosomal RNA (1342 nucleotides) under uncultured bacterium. RNAcentral's name for it is "16S ribosomal RNA". It matches the Rfam family "Bacterial small subunit ribosomal RNA", at positions 28 to 1378 of the family's 1533-position model. The record is from RNAcentral.
GACGAACGCUGGCGGCGUGCUUAACACAUGCAAGUCGAACGGAAAGGCCCUGCUUUUGUGGGGUGCUCGAGUGGCGAACGGGUGAGUAACACGUGAGUAACCUGCCCUUGACUUUGGGAUAACUUCAGGAAACUGGGGCUAAUACCGGAUAGGAGCUCCUGCUGCAUGGUGGGGGUUGGAAAGUUUCGGCGGUUGGGGAUGGACUCGCGGCUUAUCAGCUUGUUGGUGGGGUAGUGGCUUACCAAGGCUUUGACGGGUAGCCGGCCUGAGAGGGUGACCGGCCACAUUGGGACUGAGAUACGGCCCAGACUCCUACGGGAGGCAGCAGUGGGGAAUAUUGCACAAUGGGCGGAAGCCUGAUGCAGCAACGCCGCGUGCGGGAUGACGGCCUUCGGGUUGUAAACCGCUUUCGCCUGUGACGAAGCGUGAGUGACGGUAAUGGGUAAAGAAGCACCGGCUAACUACGUGCCAGCAGCCGCGGUGAUACGUAGGGUGCGAGCGUUGUCCGGAUUUAUUGGGCGUAAAGGGCUCGUAGGUGGUUGAUCGCGUCGGAAGUGUAAUCUUGGGGCUUAACCCUGAGCGUGCUUUCGAUACGGGUUGACUUGAGGAAGGUAGGGGAGAAUGGAAUUCCUGGUGGAGCGGUGGAAUGCGCAGAUAUCAGGAGGAACACCAGUGGCGAAGGCGGUUCUCUGGGCCUUUCCUGACGCUGAGGAGCGAAAGCGUGGGAGCGAACAGGCUUAGAUACCCUGGUAGUCCACGCUGUAAACGGUGGGUACUAGGUGUGGGGUCCAUUCCACGGGUUCCGUGCCGUAGCUAACGCUUUAAGUACCCCGCCUGGGGAGUACGGCCGCAAGGCUAAAACUCAAAGGAAUUGACGGGGCCCCGCACAAGCGGCGGAGCAUGCGGAUUAAUUCGAUGCAACGCGUAGAACCUUACCUGGGUUUGACAUGGAUCGGGAGUGCUCAGAGAUGGGUGUGCCUCUUUUGGGGUCGGUUCACAGGUGGUGCAUGCCUGUCGUCAGCUCGUGUCGUGAGAUGUUGGGUUAAGUCCCGCAACGAGCGCAACCCUUGUUCACUGUUGCCAGCACGUUAUGGUGGGGACUCAGUGGAGACCGCCGGGGUCAACUCGGAGGAAGGUGGGGAUGACGUCAAGUCCUCAUGCCCCUUAUGUCCAGGGCUUCACGCAUGCUACAAUGGCUGGUACAGAGAGUGGCGAGCCUGUGAGGGUGAGCGAAUCUCGGAAAGCCGGUCUCAGUUCGGAUUGGGGUCUGCAACUCGACCUCAUGAAGUCGGAGUCGCUAAUAAUCGCAGAUCAGCAACGCUGCGGUGAAUACGUUCCCGGG